AGAGGUAAACGGGUGGAGUUGAACUGCAUGCUCCGUGAAUUCAGCUGGUGAGAUUGUUGUGGGCUUGGUCAUGUGGGGUGGACAAUGAGGUAUGCUUAGCUGCAUGUCCCGGCCGGCUGGUUGGGAUGCGCGAUACGCUCAUCAUGCGUUGCGCGCCUCUGCUGUUCUCUGCCCUCUCGCCAGUGCAUUUUCGCGGAGUGUUCACCAAGACCGGCGUUGCUGUCCGGCUGCUUUAGUUAAACCGGUCUUACGCGUCCUUGUGGCGUUGUUUGGUCGGGACGGCAGGUAGCCCGUUGGCUUGCUUUGCAUGCUUUCGUGUGUAAUCAGCUGACUAAAGCGGGACUGUGCAGUACGUCGGAGCUGGCGGCCAGUUGUGCCUGCUCGUGCGUCAUGCCUUCCGAAGCAUCCUGUUCUGAUCGCCAUGUUGCCUGUCUCGGCAGGUCUGGUGGUGGACAGGGUUCUAUUGGUUGGUGGUUCCUCGGGUAGCACUUUAUAGAGCCAAUAGUCUUUGGUGUCGUGGUAGACUAUCCACCUGACCCGUCUUGAAACACGGACCAAGGAGAGUAACAUGUGCGCGAGUCAUUGGGCGUAACGAAACCCAAAGGCGCAGUGAAAGUAAAGGUCUGACUUGUUCAGUCUGAGGUGAGAUCCUGUUGUUUCUCAUGCCUGGUACCACCAAGCUUGGAGCGACAGGCGCAUCACCGGCCCGUCCCAUGAUGUAGACACGGUCAUUGUACUCGUGCACCGUCGGGGCGGAGCAUGAGCGCACAUGUUGAGACCCGAAAGAUGGUGAACUAUGCUUGCGCAGGUUGAA
Molecule: ribosomal RNA, 814 nt
Filed under: Phyllodistomum simonae
Lineage: Eukaryota; Metazoa; Platyhelminthes; Trematoda; Plagiorchiida; Gorgoderidae
Description: Phyllodistomum sp. si IGV-2021 partial large subunit ribosomal RNA
Rfam family: Eukaryotic large subunit ribosomal RNA
Source: RNAcentral